Molecule: non-coding RNA, 103 nt
Organism: Staphylotrichum tortipilum
Lineage: Eukaryota; Fungi; Ascomycota; Sordariomycetes; Sordariales; Chaetomiaceae
Source: the annotation of a GenBank genome assembly
GGCAAGGUGGCCGAGCGGUCCAAGGCGCCACGUUAAGGUAUUCAACCCUUAAUCACAGUCCGUGGUCUCGAAAGGGGCGCGAGUUCGAAUCUCGCCCUUGUCA